UGGAAAUUGUAACUACGUUUGUUUAAAAGGACAAAUUAACCCUUUGUUUUCGGUGUUUCGUAUAAUAUACGUGAGUAAGACGCGAUGUGACGGUGUGAUCAAGUUUUAUAAUGUCAACUUUGGUGAGUACGUUCCAAUUGUUUUCUUCUCCGCUUUAAAAUAACAAAUAGAAGUUGUUGUCUACGCCAAACUUGACACCUGGCCGAGCGGCGCGGGGGCGACGUCACUCAACUUCAAGCACUCUUUUCAUUCAAUUCAUUCUCGCAAUUCUCGCACUCACGCGCACACUCGUCGCAGCACUAAUGUACUUCUUCUAAUUAAACGCGAAUCUAAGAUAUUUCGACCAGUUUUUUAUUUUCUUGUUCUGUACUGAACAAAGUGGCGACCGUGACAGGACCUGCAAAAGCCAGAAACAACAAUUUCGAAGUUGCAACCUUUUUGCCAAGCGAAGGACAAACAAAGGUCAUCGGCACGUGCAUCCGUCCAGCCUUCUACAUCUUCUUGGAGGACUACAAAGGGCUGUGACUACAUCGGAGCCCGUGCAACUAGACUUCCUCACGCUGGUCUACGUAUCAAGCAACAUCCCGAAGGAUCCUCACGCCUACGUGGAAGUCAGCCAGCAUCGCCUAUUGGAACUGCUUUCUUUUUGUUGCUUCCUGCCUUUCUCAACGCCGGCCCUCAUCGCACCGGAUACCGGGCACUCAGUGAGAAGAUGCAGCACGGACUCCUCGGUACCCGGAUCGCAAAUGCACGAGGGGCUCCCCUUGCAGCGGAACCUGCACAAAUGCACAAUACGAGAAGAACCCCCCGUGCCCUGUAAAAACUUGGCCAUUAUCGGCGCAUCGGACAAGCAACAGUCGACUCGCGUGACGUCACCCUUUGUCUACGUGGAUGCAGCUACCUGUGCUCUUCACUCCAGUGACAAAUCGUGCGUCUGCGGAUAGUCGCGCGAGGCUGCGGCUGACUACGAAGCGAGGAGCGUAUCGUAUGCAAUUUUAACCUACAUUCAACUUUUAAUACAUUCAUUAGUUUUUUAUUUAUUUCAUCCCAAUGUCUACAGAAUUCGAAUCUAGAGAACUUAAGGUUCUCAAUAUUAAAAGUAGCAAUAUAAAAGGACGUUUAACUAAAUUUAAGAACUUUAUCGAUAAUUUAAAAACUUUAGAAUCUAUUUCAGACGUAGAAUUAACCUGCUUGGAAUUACGUCUAAUGUUAAAUACUUGCUAAAAAAAAAAAAGAAAACAUGCCUAAUAAGAGGCGGCUGAGUAGGAGUCGGUCGCGAAAUCUCAGAUCGCAUUCUAGCCAACAUUAUUCCCGCUACAGACGACGUAGCCCUUCUAGCAAUAUUUUAACCGAAACAAUGCAACGAAUUUCGAAUAGAUUGGUGUCAUUAGAGGAACAACAGGUAGUGUCUUCAACUCAACGAAAGGAGUCUAGUGGCCGCGCUGCAGUGGAAGUAGCCAAGUCCGCGGUGCCUGUGGCGACCAUCAGCGCCGAGCCCGUUCCUGCCGUUGAGCCUGCCGUGUCGAUGCCGCCGCCUUCGCAGUUGGGCGAAGCUAUGACUGCGAACUCGCUUCAAGGGCGCGCUUCAGGCUUCAACGACUCCGUCCUCACCGGAGCGUCCCACGAGCGCUACGUCAGUCCAGGCCAGCGCCGCCGAUCGCAUCACCGAUGCGAUACGAUCCAUAAAUAUACCGGAGGCCGAGGACGUCCUCCGGUCAGGAGAGGCCGUGUUAGCUGAGGGUGGAACUUAAGAAAUGGUGGGGUGAUGCCAAUAUAAAAGACCGCACCCUAAUUUUUGGGACACACUCGCCACCGAACACUCAAGCCAGCGGAAGCUCUGCCCGUUUGACUAGCCAAAAUAA
RNA transcript from Papilio xuthus (Asian swallowtail), 1862 nucleotides. RefSeq lists it as uncharacterized. The transcript is spliced from 4 exons. NCBI's taxonomy places the organism in Eukaryota, Metazoa, Arthropoda, Insecta, Lepidoptera, Papilionidae. The record is from RefSeq and is a predicted model, not a curated record.